AUUGAACGCUGGCGGCAUGCCUAACACAUGCAAGUCGAACGGCAGCACAGUAAAGAUUUCGGUCUUUAUGGGUGGCGAGUGGCGGACGGGUGAGUAAUGCGUAGGAAUCUGUCCUGGAGAGUAGGAUAACCCGAGGAAACUCGGGCUAAUACUGCAUGAUACCGAGAGAUCAAAGGCAGGGGACCCUUCGGGGCCUUGCGCUCUAGGAUGAGCCUACGUCGGAUUAGCUAGUUGGUGGGGUAAAGGCCUACCAAGGCGACGAUCCGUAGCUGGUCUGAGGGGAUGACCAGCCACACUGGGACUGAGACACGGCCCAGACUCCUACGGGAGGCAGCAGUGGGGAAUCUUGGACAAUGGGGGAAACCCUGAUCCAGCGAUGCCGCGUGUGUGAAGAAGGCCUUCGGGUUGUAAAGCACUUUAGUUGGGGAAGAAAAGUAAUGAGUGAAUAACUGAUUGCUCUGACGGUACCCAAAGAAUAAGCACCGGCUAACUCUGUGCCAGCCGCCGCGGUAA
RNAcentral lists this ribosomal RNA (513 nucleotides) under uncultured bacterium. RNAcentral describes it as "partial 16S ribosomal RNA". It matches the Rfam family "Bacterial small subunit ribosomal RNA", at positions 30 to 523 of the family's 1533-position model. The record is from RNAcentral.